CAGAGAGAAAUACAGUGAGGAUUCGGUUCUAAGUGCGUUACGAAUUUUAACGACGAUGAAGCGUCUAUCCUCCUGGCUACUGCGUCGCUUCAUAGACGCGUGGAUAUGAAAAGGUGUCAUGUUUCCAGAGUUUCACGCUCAACCCUCUGGGGAUCUGCAAACCACUUAGUUGUUUCCUAUCGAAAGCUGUUUUAACAUUUAUCGUGGCAAUUAUCAGUUUAUUAGCUAUCCCAACACUACUUUCUAUUCAUUAAAAUACUCGCCGAAUCAAGAAGAGAAGCGAGAAAACAUACAAUUUAACACCAGGCACAGCUUCUAACAGGAUCUUUGCGCAACGAACAAGAGCAAAUAUAGUUGGAUCUAAACGUGGUCGGAAUUCAUGAACCCUGCUAAUUAUGUUUGACUUGCGAAUUCGAGAUAAAUUCAUGAAAUGGCACAGAGAAAGAAGAUCGUGUGAGAAAUUAUGAUGAUGGUGUUCUUCGUGUUAUUUCACAUUGUUGUGUCACCUUAGAGAGUUUCAAAAUAAAUAGUAAAAGGAAGAACAAA
This is a long non-coding RNA of Apis florea (little honeybee), 546 nucleotides long. Lineage: Eukaryota; Metazoa; Arthropoda; Insecta; Hymenoptera; Apidae. The record is from RefSeq and is a predicted model, not a curated record.